RNAcentral lists this ribosomal RNA (699 nucleotides) under uncultured bacterium. Its description in RNAcentral is "bacterial SSU rRNA". It matches the Rfam family "Bacterial small subunit ribosomal RNA", at positions 81 to 760 of the family's 1533-position model. The record is from RNAcentral.
GGGAGGCGAGUAGAGUGGCGCACGGGUGAGUAACACGUAGGUAAUCUACCUUUGGAUGGGGAAUAACAACCGGAAACGGUUGCUAAUACCGCAUAAUGCAGCGGCACCUAAUGGUGACAGUUGUUAAAGCGGGGGAUCGAAAGACCUCGCGUCUGAAGAGGAGCCUGCGGCGGAUUAGCUAGUUGGUAAGGUAAUGGCUUACCAAGGCGAUGAUCCGUAACCGGCCUGAGAGGGCGGUCGGUCACACUGACACUGACAUACGGGUCAGACUCCUACGGGAGGCAGCAGUCGGGAAUUUUGGGCAAUGGGCGAAAGCCUGACCCAGCAACGCCGCGUGAAGGAUGAAAUCCCUCGGGAUGUAAACUUCGCAAGAACAGGAAGAAUAAGUAAGGGUUAAUAUCUCUUACGAUGACGGUACUGUUUGUAAGCUCCGGCUAACUCCGUGCCAGCAGCCGCGGUAAUACGGGGGGAGCAAGCGUUGUUCGGAUUUACUGGGCGUAAAGGGCGCGUAGGCGGCCACCGCAAGUCGGUUGUGAAAUCUCUGGGCUUAACCCAGAAAGGUCAACCGAUACUGCGGGGCUAGAGUGCAGAAGGGGCAACUGGAAUUCUCGGUGUAGCGGUGAAAUGCGUAGAUAUCGAGAGGAACACCUGCGGCGAAGGCGGGUUGCUGGGCUGACACUGACGCUGAAGCGCGAAAGC